UACGUAGGUGGCGAGCGUUGUCCGGAUUUACUGGGCGUAAAGCGCGCGCAGGCGGCAGUCUAAGUCCUCUGUGAAAUCACCCGGCUCAACUGGGUGGCUGCGGAGGAGACUGGGCAGCUUGAGGGGCCUAGAGGCCGGUGGAACUCCCGGUGUAGUGGUGAAAUGCGUAGAGAUCGGGAAGAACACCAGUGGCGAAGGCGGCCGGCUGGGGGCGCCCUGACGCUGAGGCGCGAGAGCGUGGGGAGCGAACAGG
This 253-nucleotide ribosomal RNA is filed under the name uncultured bacterium. Its description in RNAcentral is "partial 16S ribosomal RNA". It matches the Rfam family "Bacterial small subunit ribosomal RNA", at positions 524 to 776 of the family's 1533-position model. The record is from RNAcentral.